RNAcentral lists this ribosomal RNA (253 nucleotides) under uncultured bacterium. Its description in RNAcentral is "partial 16S ribosomal RNA". It matches the Rfam family "Bacterial small subunit ribosomal RNA", at positions 524 to 776 of the family's 1533-position model. The record is from RNAcentral.
UACAGAGGUCUCAAGCGUUGUUCGGAUUCAUUGGGCGUAAAGGGUGCGUAGGUGGUGAGAUAAGUCGGAUGUGAAAGCUCGGAGCUCAACUCCGAAAUGGCAUUGGAAACUAUCUCGCUCGAGGGUUGGAGGGGGGACUGGAAUGCUUGGUGUAGCAGUGAAAUGCGUAGAUAUCAAGCGGAACACCAGUGGCGAAGGCGAGUCCCUGGACAACUCCUGACACUGAGGCACGAAAGCUAGGGGAGCAAACAGG